AUGUAUUUGCCAGACUGCAAACAUGAUAAAAGUGACUCCAGCUUGUUGAUUGUUUACUUUUCUCUAAUGUUCUGUUCAUCUUCUUCUUGUUUCACCGCCUCAACCAUCCAGAGGGUGAUUCUUCAAGUGGUGAGUUCACAGUGUGAGUCAAAGACCAAACAACACCAUGAGCGAGGAGGAGCUGACUUUAGUGUAUAUCUAUAUCAAUAUACUCUACAUAGAACGUUCCAUGUAAUGUUCUCCAGCUUGUCCUUUAAUGUUCUGCAAACACUGACACUGUUGUUACAAAGCACACAUCACAUCCUCCACAACCAGCAGCUCCAACACUCAGAGCCACUUGUUCCAGCUUUACAUUCUACUAAUGUUCUGUUUCUGUUCCUGCUUCACCGCCUCCACCAUCUAGCAGAUGAGUCUUCAGAUGGUGAUAGUUCUUCAGAUGAAACCACUGACGCCCCUGAAGCCACUGAGGGGCCUGAAGCCGAUGACACCACUGAAGCCGAUGAUGUCGCUGAAGUCGAUGACGUCGCUGAAGUCGAUGACGCAGAUGGCGCUGAUGCUGAUGACACCCCUGAAGCUGAUGACUCCGAUGGUGCUGAUGACACCCCUGAAGCUGAUGACUCCGAUGGUGCUGAUGAUGCUGCUGAUGCCGAUGACACCGCUGAAGCUGAUGACUCCGCUGAUGACUCUGCUGAUGACGCCGCUGAUGACACAGACAACUCAGACAACUGAGACACAGUUGCCGCACCAACUCCCUAAAGAUGCACGAUUAGCAUGGAUGCCUGGAUGA
This 787-nucleotide long non-coding RNA is filed under the name Betta splendens (Siamese fighting fish). RNAcentral describes it as "lncRNA (ENSBSLG00000001387.1)". The record is from RNAcentral. Lineage: Eukaryota; Metazoa; Chordata; Actinopteri; Anabantiformes; Osphronemidae.